This 1012-nucleotide ribosomal RNA is filed under the name Microbacterium oxydans. Its description in RNAcentral is "bacterial SSU rRNA". It matches the Rfam family "Bacterial small subunit ribosomal RNA", at positions 56 to 1077 of the family's 1533-position model. Lineage: Bacteria; Bacillati; Actinomycetota; Actinomycetes; Micrococcales; Microbacteriaceae. The record is from RNAcentral.
UGCAGUCGAACGGUGAACACGGAGCUUGCUCUGUGGGAUCAGUGGCGAACGGGUGAGUAACACGUGAGCAACCUGCCCCUGACUCUGGGAUAAGCGCUGGAAACGGCGUCUAAUACUGGAUAUGUGACGUGACCGCAUGGUCUGCGUCUGGAAAGAAUUUCGGUUGGGGAUGGGCUCGCGGCCUAUCAGCUUGUUGGUGAGGUAAUGGCUCACCAAGGCGUCGACGGGUAGCCGGCCUGAGAGGGUGACCGGCCACACUGGGACUGAGACACGGCCCAGACUCCUACGGGAGGCAGCAGUGGGGAAUAUUGCACAAUGGGCGCAAGCCUGAUGCAGCAACGCCGCGUGAGGGAUGACGGCCUUCGGGUUGUAAACCUCUUUUAGCAGGGAAGAAGCGAAAGUGACGGUACCUGCAGAAAAAGCGCCGGCUAACUACGUGCCAGCAGCCGCGGUAAUACGUAGGGCGCAAGCGUUAUCCGGAAUUAUUGGGCGUAAAGAGCUCGUAGGCGGUUUGUCGCGUCUGCUGUGAAAUCCGGAGGCUCAACCUCCGGCCUGCAGUGGGUACGGGCAGACUAGAGUGCGGUAGGGGAGAUUGGAAUUCCUGGUGUAGCGGUGGAAUGCGCAGAUAUCAGGAGGAACACCGAUGGCGAAGGCAGAUCUCUGGGCCGUAACUGACGCUGAGGAGCGAAAGGGUGGGGAGCAAACAGGCUUAGAUACCCUGGUAGUCCACCCCGUAAACGUUGGGAACUAGUUGUGGGGUCCAUUCCACGGAUUCCGUGACGCAGCUAACGCAUUAAGUUCCCCGCCUGGGGAGUACGGCCGCAAGGCUAAAACUCAAAGGAAUUGACGGGGACCCGCACAAGCGGCGGAGCAUGCGGAUUAAUUCGAUGCAACGCGAAGAACCUUACCAAGGCUUGACAUAUACGAGAACGGGCCAGAAAUGGUCAACUCUUUUGGACACUCGUAAACAGGUGGUGCAUGGGUUGUCGUCAGCUCGUGUCGUGAGAUGUUG